Molecule: ribosomal RNA, 253 nt
Filed under: uncultured bacterium
Lineage: Bacteria
Description: partial 16S ribosomal RNA
Rfam family: Bacterial small subunit ribosomal RNA
Source: RNAcentral
UACGAAGGGGGCUAGCGUUGCUCGGAAUUACUGGGCGUAAAGCGAGUGUAGGCGGUCUGAUAAGUCGGGUGUGAAAGCCCCGGGCUCAACCCGGGAAGUGCACUCGAAACUGACAGGCUAGAGUAUCGGAGAGGUUGGUGGAAUUCUCGGUGUAGAGGUGAAAUUCGUAGAUAUCGAGAGGAACACCGGUGGCGAAGGCGGCCAACUGGACGAAUACUGACGCUGAGACUCGAAAGCGUGGGGAGCAAACAGG